UCUGACCAAUCCGUGCUAUUCGGGCCGAAAGCACGGAUUGGUCAGUCCUGCAGCCGCCACAGAGGGAAGGAAUGGCCGUAACAAAUGGAUGCCUCCCCGCCUGCCCCUUUGGAUGCUCUGCCACUGCAACCAGAUGCAGCAACCAGAUGCACACAGCUUGUCUCCUACCUUGCCGCUUCAAUAACUCUCAUUACGGCAAAUAAUGAAUCGGGAACUGUCCCAGCUGGCUGCUUUCCCUGAUCGAAGAAAGUCUCGGGCAGAAGUGCUGCUGGUUUGAAUGAGCGACAGAGGCAUCAGAGAAAGGCCAAUGGAUUUCGCUCUUCUGAUUUAAUGAGUCACUCACAUGCCAUGUUGGCACUGGCUCGCAGCAUCUGGCACUUGGGUGGCCAUGCACAUUCACACAGUUUACUUACAUUUCACCUCUGCCGUUACUCACUAUGAGUGAUUGCCUACUUAGCCCUGCUCUACAGGGCGUUUCCAUCCUAAAAACACACACACACACACAAACACAUUCAAGUAUUUGAUUGGUGCGAUUAUCUCAAUAUCACAGAGUAAAGAUUAACUCUAUUACAGCCCUCAUAUAGUGCCAGAAAAAUCUUUGAUUUAUAUGUGAAGAUUUGUGUUCACCCUGCAGGGUUAAUUAGUGGACAAUUACCAUUAAAACCUCUUUGCAACACUGUGAUAAUUACCCUCUUAUCACUUUCAUAAUCUGUGAUUCUGACCAGAAAGUUUGAUAUAUAGUAGUAGAACAGUUGAAGCUAAAGUGGCUGACGCUUUUGCUUUUGGAAAAUAACUCUAACGCUCUCUUAUAAACUUACAGAGCCUAUAGCUUAUAUUCAAAUAUAUGCACGUCAGAGCUCACCCAUCAUGAUUCUCUGGAUGGAUGUACGGCUAGCACUCUGUUAUAUACCUUGCUUACUGUUGGUUAAUUUUAAUGAUACAUUUUCACAAUUCUUCAUCACUCAUAUGAAGAUGAUUAAAGUAAAUUAGACAUAAUUUAAUUAAAAGUAUAAUGUCCCAAAUCUCUGUGUCAAAGGUAUUUGCAUAUCACCAACUUCUGCUUUUGCACUUGAAGAAUUUCCUAGAUUGAUUUCUGCUCGACAAGCCUCAUAAAUUACUUAUUAACAAGGAUGAAAAGAUAUCUAUUGUGAAAUUGAACACUUCCAGGAAUUAUGUGUUCUUAAUUAGUCACCUGGCAGCUUUUAAGUGUGUGUAUAAUUAGUGAUUACUUUGUCUGCUCAGUGUUGUGAAGAAAAAAAAAAAUCAGUACAGCAACAUUUUAUUGUUUAAAAGAUUGACAUCAAAAGUCACAGAAGAUGCAUUUUUACUGCCAUUACCUCACACAGCAGGGCUUCAGUGCUGCACUGUGAGGACUUUUUUCAAAUGGAGAAAUGUGUUCAGAGCUCUGUUACGCGACGUAAGCUCCAAAAACUAUUUGCCUAAAACUGAUCAAAAUAAACUGACUCAUCCACAAACCUCAUGUGUUUUCUGAAUUAUUACAAAGAAAGCUGAGGGGAACUUUUGCAUAAAAACAAUGUGCUUGAAGCUUAUCAUAUAUACAUUAAAAAAACAAGUAUUAUACUGAAAAGUAAUGCAUUUUGAGUUGGUCUUUUCGUUUCCUGAAACAAAUCCCACAUUUAGCUAUUUGAUUUAUACACAUUGACUCAACAUGAUAGAGAAAACCUUGCAUUGCAUUAAAUGUGACCCCAAACAAUGAACAUACGCAACAAUUAGAUGGAAAACUGUUUUAAAUACUUUAGUUUUUUGGGGCAUAGGUUUUAUAGCCACAAGUGUAAUACAUAUGCAGGAUAAAUUAAUGUUAACAAGGCUGGACUUUUCACAUUUCCCCUCUGCUGAGGUCAGUGCCCAAAAGUUUUACGUUUCUAAUCAUUACAUAUGUGAACCGACUCAGAUAUCUUCAGCGCUUAAAAAUGAGAGUGGUAUUUUGAAAUCUCUGAUAGUGUUUCCACGAGACCCCUGGGUUUUCUAUCAGCAAUAAUGAUGACUGACCAAUCCAUCUGUGGAUCAUUCAUUCCUCUCUAAUUAUCUCACAUGUGCACUCUGCCUGCCCGUGACAUUUAGCAAGGGCUUUUUCAGUAAGUCACAGGGUGGGCCAAGAUGCCAUUAGGUGAUAAGGUUCAUUUAUUGUGGGGCUCUCAUCAGCACAUUUUCCUGCCUUAAGGCAUAAAAUACAAUCCACAGUGAUUAGCAUCAGGCCCAUAUCAGGCGAAACAUAAUAGCCCCACUCUGAAGGUGAACCCUUUGAGGGCACAAUCUUUACUCGGCGCAGACAAUUGCCACAGAUUUUUUGCUGUUAGUGGAUUAUCUCUCUGGCUUUGUGUCCG
Molecule: long non-coding RNA, 2345 nt
Organism: Acanthopagrus latus (yellowfin seabream)
Lineage: Eukaryota; Metazoa; Chordata; Actinopteri; Spariformes; Sparidae
Exons: 3
Source: RefSeq, a predicted model, not a curated record